CGGAAAUGUCAGCAAGCAAUAUUUUAUAACUGCUUCGUUGGAAUUAGGAGACUUUCGAGCAGCUUCACACUCAAUGGAAUGAUGCCGUCCCCCUGAACUUUGAAACUGCGAAUGUAAGGUGUGACAACGUGGAGGAACACGUGUGGGCUCUUUAUCACUGAAAAACGAGCAGACAUCAUAAUUCAGAAGAGCCUAAAACGCUUGACCUACUUUCAAGGCCAACCGGCCCGGUUGAAUGUAAAAACACAACCUUCAAGGGUCACUUCAGACCCUGAAAAUUAACACUCGGGCACUAAAAUUUAAAACACCAGCAAGACAGAAAAAGAGGAAAAAAUCAGGGAAAAGCUGAAAAAUAUUGAAAAUCUUACAAAAAUGUGCGUCUGCGAGUGCGUAAGGCGGGUUGCGUCGUGUCCGGAGCGAGGUGUUGGCAGGACGGUGGCCCUCGAGGAACUCUGGCCGACCUGCCGGGAGGUCGGACGACUAAGGAGCGGCGGUGGCGGCGCCGGUGCGCACUUGUGCGCACCGUGCGCACCCUACGCACUUUCAGCUAGGAUCGAACGAAGCCUCCCUCGCCUGCUGCGUAACGACAGUCGGUGCCAAAAGUGCGAAAUCCACCCCUCCACCCCCGU
This is a long non-coding RNA of Neocloeon triangulifer, 629 nucleotides long. RefSeq lists it as uncharacterized. The record is from RefSeq and is a predicted model, not a curated record. The transcript is spliced from 3 exons. NCBI's taxonomy places the organism in Eukaryota, Metazoa, Arthropoda, Insecta, Ephemeroptera, Baetidae.